UACGGGGGGAGCAAGCGUUGUUCGGAUUUACUGGGCGUAAAGGGCGCGUAGGCGGUCAGCACAAGUCAGUUGUGAAAUCUCCGGGCUUAACUCGGAAAGGUCAACUGAUACUGUGCGACUAGAGUGCAGAAGGGGCAACUGGAAUUCUCGGUGUAGCGGGGAAAUGCGUAGAUAUCGAGAGGAACACCUGCGGCGAAGGCGGGUUGCUGGGCUGACACUGACGCUGAUGCGCGAAAGCCAGGGGAGCGAACGGG
Molecule: ribosomal RNA, 254 nt
Filed under: uncultured bacterium
Lineage: Bacteria
Description: partial 16S ribosomal RNA
Rfam family: Bacterial small subunit ribosomal RNA
Source: RNAcentral